AUUGAACGCUGGCGGCAGGCCUAACACAUGCAAGUCGAGCGGCGCAGCGGACGGGUGAGUAAUGCCUAGGAAUGUGCCUGGUCGUGGGGGAUGACGUUCGGUACCGGGCGCUAAUACCGCAUACUAUCAGAUGAGGCUAGGUCGGAUUAGCUAGUUGGUGGGGUAAAGGCCUACCAAGGCGACGAUCCGUAACUGGUCUGAGAGGAUGAUCAGUCACACUGGAACUGAGACACGGUCCAGACUCCUACGGGAGGCAGCAGUGGGGAAUAUUGGACAAUGGGCGCAAGCCUGAUCCAGCCAUGCCGCGUGUGUGAAGAAGGUCUUCGGAUUGUAAAGCACUUUAAGUUGGGAGGCGUUACCAGCAGAAUAAGCACCGGCUAACUUCGUGCCAGCAGCCGCGGUAAUUC
Molecule: ribosomal RNA, 407 nt
Filed under: uncultured bacterium
Lineage: Bacteria
Description: partial 16S ribosomal RNA
Rfam family: Bacterial small subunit ribosomal RNA
Source: RNAcentral